This 537-nucleotide transfer RNA is filed under the name uncultured cyanobacterium. Its description in RNAcentral is "partial 16S-23S ribosomal RNA intergenic spacer". The stretch from base 208 to 280 matches the Rfam family "tRNA". The record is from RNAcentral. Lineage: Bacteria; Bacillati; Cyanobacteriota.
CAGGGAGACAACAAAAUGUUUAAUAUUAUUUUGUCACCUUAGGUCGAUCGGUAUCUCACGUUCUUAAUUUAUUAAGAAUUUUAUUUCCUAAGUUUUUCUAGGUCACACCCAUUAUUUUUCCUGGGCCAUUAGCUCAGGUGGUUAGAGCGCACCCCUGAUAAGGGUGAGGUCCCUGGUUCAAGUCCAGGAUGGCCCAUACUCUAUGUUGGGGGUAUAGCUCAGUUGGUAGAGCGCCUGCUUUGCAAGCAGGAUGUCAGCGGUUCGAGUCCGCUUACCUCCACUGAUUACCACCUCUUCCAUAAUUUAUAGAAAGGAAAUAUAUUGAGUUGUGAUCAAAUUCUGAACGAUUCUAGCUUCCUAAUGAAACCAUUAAGAUGCUGGAUUCAUUGAAUUAAUUUCAUUGUUUUCAGAGAACCUUGACAACUGCAUAGAUUUUUUUUAAAGACAAUAAGCAUCUUUAAUGAUGCAGAUUUAUUAUUUGUGCGAAUGCAUUAAUAACAAUUCUAUUAAGCUGAUGCUUCAAUUUUUGAAGUUAUU